UACAGAGGUCUCAAGCGUUGUUCGGAUUCAUUGGGCGUAAAGGGUGUGUAGGUGGCGCCGUAAGUCGGGUGUGAAAUUUCGGAGCUUAACUCCGAAACUGCAUUCGAUACAGCGGUGCUUGAGGACUGGAGAGGAGACUGGAAUUCAUGGUGUAGCGGUGAAAUGCGUAGAUAUCGUAAGGAAGACCAGUGGCGAAGGCGGGUCUCUGGACAGUUCCUGACGCUGAGGCACGAAGGUCAGGGGAGCAAACGGG
This 253-nucleotide ribosomal RNA is filed under the name uncultured bacterium. RNAcentral's name for it is "partial 16S ribosomal RNA". It matches the Rfam family "Bacterial small subunit ribosomal RNA", at positions 524 to 776 of the family's 1533-position model. The record is from RNAcentral.